RNAcentral lists this long non-coding RNA (1836 nucleotides) under Cicer arietinum (chickpea). Its description in RNAcentral is "long non-coding RNA (CARI_LNC002794)". The record is from RNAcentral. Lineage: Eukaryota; Viridiplantae; Streptophyta; Magnoliopsida; Fabales; Fabaceae.
ACAGUUAUUUUUAUACUAGUUUGCAUCAAUUGUUGCAAUUUCUUCUAUAGAGAGAUUUGACUUUAGUACGAUCUAUUAUCUAUUAUAUAUAUUGAAAACAAACUCUCUCACUUUAUUGUUGCCAUGUGUACAAACAUAUUCCACCUCAACAAGAAAAUUGAUGUGUACGCUCCUAUUAGAGAGUUCUUACUUGUGUGUUGUGUUUCACCUUAUUUUUCUCUACUUAGUUUCUAAAUAAUUUUUCCCUUUCAAAUCCCUAAUUUUUUUAAACGCUUUCUCCUUCAUCUUAAUAUCCUCCAACAGUUUCUUCUUCUCGAUUUUAAUGUAUUCACUUUGUCGCUAAGAUCCUCUUUGACGUCCCUCCGCGGUUCAAAAAAGUGGUAACGUCCAUAUGCGCUCAGCUUCUACUUCCACAUCUUCGACCGUCUCACUGAUUCACGAUUCACACUCAUCCUAUCGGUUCCAAAAAAGUGGCAACGUCCCUCAGCGGUUCACUUCUGCUUCGUCAUCCUCGACCGUCUCGCCCGAUUCACAAUUCAAAAUCAUCUUUUUCGACAUCUCUCUGCGGUAACUCUUCGAAAUCGUGAAAUCUUACCUAGAUUAUUAUCAAAUUGUAUACAUAAAACAAACCACCAAAUCUAUUUUGUUGUCAUCUUAUUAUGUAUAUUUUAAAAAAAAAAAUAUAACAUUAUUAUGUAUUUCUCAUUACUUUCAAUUUAUGUCAAUCAAUUAUAUGAGUAAUAUGUUACGUUAUAAAUCCUCCUUUUACCUUCAUACACAAUUGAGGCAACUUUUCGAAAUCGUGAAAUCUUACCUAGAUUAUUAUCAAAUUAUAAACAUAGCACAAGCGUUCCCCAAAUCAAUUUUGUUGUUAUCUAUUAUGCAUUUUUUUUUUUAUAAAUUAUUUUAUAAUAUUAUUAGGCAUUUCUCAUUACUUUCAAUUUAUGUCAAUCAAUUAUAUGAGUAAUAUUUUACGUUAUCAAUCCUCCUUUCACGUUCAUACACAAUUAUUCAAUGAUUUCAUACGUUGAAAAUUACAUUUUUCUAUAAUAUUUUUAUAAUACAUUUUUUUUAUUAUGGGUAAUAUUUUACACUAUCAAUUAUACUUAGGUGUAUAAAUCUUGUUUUCAUGCACAAUUACUUUACUUAGGGGUCACUAAUGAUUUCAUACAUUGAAAAUUCAAUUACUCAUUAAAUUCAAUGGAAAAAACACAUAAUCACUCAUAAAUAUUGUCAUAAACGUUUUUUUUAUCAAAUUCUUUGUAUUAUCUCAACAUGGUAACGAUAAUAAAUUGAGAUUGUGAAAUCUUACCUAGAUUAUUCUCAAAUUUAAUACACAAAACAAACCCCCAAAUCUAUUUUGUUUUCACCUUAUUAUGCAUUUUUUUUAUAAAAAAAUUUAUAACAUUAUUACGCAAUUAUAAUUACUUUCAAUUUAUGUCAAUCAAUUAUAGAGUAAUAUUUUAUGUUAUUAAUCCUCCUUUUAUGUUCAUAAACAAUGAUGUUCUUCUACGGUAACUCUUCGAAAUCGUAAAAUCUUACAUAGAUUAUUAUUGAAUUGUAUACAUAAAACAAACCCACAAUCUAUUUUGUUGUCAUCUUAUUAUGCCUUUUUUUUUAUAACAUUAUUAUGUUUAAUAAUUUACCUGAGGAUUUUGCUGCGGCUCACAAUUAUUUUAGGAAUAUUUAUGCUGCGGUGGCAGAUUCUGCAAGUAAAACAACAUGUAAAGUUUUUGUUUGCUGCAGAUUUAAAUGUGAUUAUAAAUCUGCAGCAAACUUCACAUUUUUCCUGAGGAUUUAUCUACGGAAGGAAAAAAUGGUUGAUGUAGCAUUUGG